UUCCAUUGCGCAGGCUAAAGGAUUGUAAUUGGAAUGAGUACAAUCUCUAAAUCCCUCAACGAGGAACAAUUGAAGGGCAAGUCUGGUGCCAUGCCAGCAGCCGCGGUAAUUCCAGCUCCAA
This 121-nucleotide non-coding RNA is filed under the name Xylona heveae TC161. RNAcentral describes it as "Eukaryotic small subunit ribosomal RNA". It matches the Rfam family "Eukaryotic small subunit ribosomal RNA", at positions 488 to 594 of the family's 1831-position model. Lineage: Eukaryota; Fungi; Ascomycota; Xylonomycetes; Xylonales; Xylonaceae. The record is from Rfam by way of RNAcentral.